AUUGAACGCUGGCGGCAGGCCUAACACAUGCAAGUCGAACGGUAACAGGAAGCAGCUUGCUGCUUUGCUGACGAGUGGCGGACGGGUGAGUAAUGUCUGGGAAACUGCCUGAUGGAGGGGGAUAACUACUGGAAACGGUAGCUAAUACCGCAUAACGUCGCAAGACCAAAGAGGGGGACCUUCGGGCCUCUUGCCAUCGGAUGUGCCCAGAUGGGAUUAGCUAGUAGGUGGGGUAACGGCUCACCUAGGCGACGAUCCCUAGCUGGUCUGAGAGGAUGACCAGCCACACUGGAACUGAGACACGGUCCAGACUCCUACGGGAGGCAGCAGUGGGGAAUAUUACACAAUGGGCGCAAGCCUGAUGCAGCCAUGCCGCGUGUAUGAAGAAGGCCUUCGGGUUGUAAAGUACUUUCAGCGGGGAGGAAGGGAGUAAAGUUAAUACCUUUGCUCAUUGACGUUACCCGCAGAAGAAGCACCGGCUAACUCCGUG
RNAcentral lists this ribosomal RNA (490 nucleotides) under uncultured bacterium. RNAcentral's name for it is "partial 16S ribosomal RNA". It matches the Rfam family "Bacterial small subunit ribosomal RNA", at positions 30 to 507 of the family's 1533-position model. The record is from RNAcentral.